This 253-nucleotide ribosomal RNA is filed under the name uncultured bacterium. RNAcentral describes it as "partial 16S ribosomal RNA". It matches the Rfam family "Bacterial small subunit ribosomal RNA", at positions 524 to 776 of the family's 1533-position model. The record is from RNAcentral.
GACGAACCGUGCGAACGUUGUUCGGAAUCACUGGGCUUAAAGAGCGCGUAGGCGGGUUCGCAAGUCUGUGGUGAAAGCCUCCAGCUUAACUGGAGAAGUGCCGUGGAUACUGCGAAUCUUGAGGAGGGUAGGGGCAUCUGGAACGGUCGGUGGAGCGGUGAAAUGCGUUGAUAUCGACCGGAACUCCGGUGGCGAAGGCGAGGUGCUGGACCCUUUCUGACGCUGAGGCGCGAAAGCCAGGGGAGCAAACGGG